AUUGAACGCUGGCGGCAGGCCUAACACAUGCAAGUCGAACGGUAACAGGAAACAGCUUGCUGUUUCGCUGACGAGUGGCGGACGGGUGAGUAAUGUCUGGGAAACUGCCUGAUGGAGGGGGAAAACUACUGGAAACGGUAGCUAAUACCGCAUAACGUCGCAAGACCAAAGAGGGGGACCUUCGGGCCUCUUGCCAUCGGAUGUGCCCCGAUGGGAUUCGCUAGUAGGUGGGGGAACGGCUCACCUAGGCGACGAUCCCUAGCUGGUCUGAGAGGAUGACCAGCCACACUGGAACUGAGACACGGUCCAGACUCCUACGGGAGGCAGCAGUGGGGAAUCUUGCACAAUGGGCGAAAGCCUGAUGCAGCCAUGCCGCGUGUAUGAAGAAGGCCUUCGGGUUGUAAAGUACUUUCAGCGGGGAGGAAGGGAGUAAAAUUAAUACCUUUGCUCAUUGACGUUACCCGCUGAAGAAGCACCGGCUAACUCCGUG
RNAcentral lists this ribosomal RNA (490 nucleotides) under uncultured bacterium. RNAcentral's name for it is "partial 16S ribosomal RNA". It matches the Rfam family "Bacterial small subunit ribosomal RNA", at positions 30 to 507 of the family's 1533-position model. The record is from RNAcentral.